GAGUUUGAUCCUGGCUCAGGAUGAACGCUGGCGGCGUGCUUAACACAUGCAAGUCGAGCGAAGCACUUAGGAAAGAUUCUUCGGAUGAUUUCCUAUUUGACUGAGCGGCGGACGGGUGAGUAACGCGUGGGUAACCUGCCUCAUACAGGGGGAUAACAGUUAGAAAUGACUGCUAAUACCGCAUAAGACCACAGCACCGCAUGGUGCAGGGGUAAAAACUCCGGUGGUAUGAGAUGGACCCGCGUCUGAUUAGCUGGUUGGUGAGGUAACGGCUCACCAAGGCGACGAUCAGUAGCCGGCUUGAGAGAGUGAACGGCCACAUUGGGACUGAGACACGGCCCAAACUCCUACGGGAGGCAGCAGUGGGGAAUAUUGCACAAUGGGGGAAACCCUGAUGCAGCGACGCCGCGUGAGUGAAGAAGUAUCUCGGUAUGUAAAGCUCUAUCAGCAGGGAAGAAAAUGACGGUACCUGACUAAGAAGCUCCGGCUAAAUACGUGCCAGCCGCCGCGGUAAUUC
RNAcentral lists this ribosomal RNA (517 nucleotides) under uncultured bacterium. Its description in RNAcentral is "bacterial SSU rRNA". It matches the Rfam family "Bacterial small subunit ribosomal RNA", at positions 9 to 526 of the family's 1533-position model. The record is from RNAcentral.